Molecule: transfer RNA, 74 nt
Filed under: Taxillus caloreas
Lineage: Eukaryota; Viridiplantae; Streptophyta; Magnoliopsida; Santalales; Loranthaceae
Also listed under: 2 other names
Description: tRNA-fMet
Rfam family: tRNA
About the family: Transfer RNA (tRNA) molecules are approximately 80 nucleotides in length. Their secondary structure includes four short double-helical elements and three loops (D, anti-codon, and T loops). Further hydrogen bonds mediate the characteristic L-shaped molecular structure. tRNAs have two regions of fundamental functional importance: the anti-codon, which is responsible for specific mRNA codon recognition, and the 3' end, to which the tRNAs corresponding amino acid is attached (by aminoacyl-tRNA synthetases). tRNAs cope with the degeneracy of the genetic code in two manners: having more than one tRNA (with a specific anti-codon) for a particular amino acid; and 'wobble' base-pairing, i.e. permitting non-standard base-pairing at the 3rd anti-codon position.
Source: RNAcentral
CGCGGGGUAGAGCAGUUUGGUAGCUCGUAAGGCUCAUAACCUUGAAGUCGCGGGUUCAAAUCCCGUCUCCGCAA